Phrynosoma platyrhinos (Desert horned lizard) is the source of this 72-nucleotide non-coding RNA. NCBI's taxonomy places the organism in Eukaryota, Metazoa, Chordata, Lepidosauria, Squamata, Phrynosomatidae. The record is from the annotation of a GenBank genome assembly.
CCUUAUGUGGUGCAGUGGUUUGAGUGUUGGACUAUGACUCUGGAGACUCAGGUUCAAAUUCUUGCUCAAGCA